This 224-nucleotide unclassified non-coding RNA is filed under the name plant metagenome. RNAcentral describes it as "partial contains small subunit ribosomal RNA, internal transcribed spacer 1, and 5.8S ribosomal RNA". The record is from RNAcentral.
UUUCCGUAGGUGAACCUGCGGAAGGAUCAUUAGUGAAUUGAAUAUGUUAGCGGACCUCUUCGGAGUCCCUAGCAUCAAAUCAUAUCCAUACACCUGUGAACUGUAAGGCUGUCUUGAAAACGAAAGUGAUUAGAGCGCCUGCCCAUUUUAUACAAACAUUAAAGUAACAAACGUAGUCUUAUUAUAAUCUAAUAAAACUUUCAACAACGGAUCUCUUGGCUCUC